Molecule: ribosomal RNA, 253 nt
Filed under: uncultured bacterium
Lineage: Bacteria
Description: partial 16S ribosomal RNA
Rfam family: Bacterial small subunit ribosomal RNA
Source: RNAcentral
UACGUAGGGGGCAAGCGUUGUCCGGAUUUAUUGGGCGUAAAGCGCGCGCAGGCGGUUUCUUAAGUCUGAUGUGAAAGCCCACGGCUCAACCGUGGAAGGUCAUUGGAAACUGGGGAACUUGAGUACAGAAGAGAAGAGCGGAAUUCCACGUGUAGCGGUGAAAUGCGUAGAGAUGUGGAGGAACACCAGUGGCGAAGGCGGCUCGUUGGUCUGUAACUGACGCUGAGGCGCGAAAGCGUGGGGAUCAAGCAGG